Molecule: ribosomal RNA, 453 nt
Filed under: uncultured soil bacterium
Lineage: Bacteria
Description: bacterial SSU rRNA
Rfam family: Bacterial small subunit ribosomal RNA
Source: RNAcentral
AGAGUUUGAUCCUGGCUCAGAAUCAACGCUGGCGGCGUGCCUAACACAUGCAAGUCGAACGAGAAAGUGGAGCAAUCCAUGAGUAAAGUGGCGACCGGGUGAGUAACACGUGACUAACCUACCUCCGAGUGGGGAAUAACUCCGGGAAACCGGGGCUAAUACCGCAUAACAUCGCAAGAUCAAAGCAGCAAUGCGCUUGGAGAGGGGGUCGCGGCUGAUUAGCUAGUUGGCGGGGUAACGGCCCACCAAGGCGAAGAUCGGUAUCCGGCCUGAGAGGGCGCACGGACACACUGGAACUGAAACACGGUCCAGACUCCUACGGGAGGCAGCAGUGGGGAAUUUUGCGCAAUGGGGGAAACCCUGACGCAGCAACGCCGCGUGGAGGAUGAAGCCCUUUGGGGCGUAAACUCCUUUCGACUCGGAAGAUUAUGACGGUACGAGGAAGAAGACCCA